RNAcentral lists this long non-coding RNA (14139 nucleotides) under Nicotiana tabacum (common tobacco). RNAcentral describes it as "long non-coding RNA (NTAB_LNC009256)". The record is from RNAcentral. Lineage: Eukaryota; Viridiplantae; Streptophyta; Magnoliopsida; Solanales; Solanaceae.
ACAAUGAUAUCAAACAUCUUAAAUUUCUAGUAAUAGAAGAGUGUCAUAUAAAAUUGGAGCUAUCAUCUUUAGCUCAUACUAAUACUUCAAUUUUUUCCGAGCUAUACAUCAAUAAUAAAAUUUUCCUUAUAACAAACCAUCUCUUUUUUGACUAGUAACAGGGACAGCGAACCUAGAUGAGAAAUUACACAAAAGCCCAUCUUCUUCUACACGAGCUCCAUCAUCAAAAUUCAAGGCAUAACUUUGAGCAUCAUAUUGAAAUUGGGCUUUAUUUGAUUUCUUCAAAUUGCAGUGUACUCCAAUUUUCUUUACCAAAUUCUUCAUAAUCUUGAUCUUUAUACUAGCCAUGACUCUUUUUGCUCUAGCAAAGACCUGCUGUGAACUUCGUGGGCUUGGGCCCAAUUAAAGCAAGAAAACUUUAAACAACCACACGGCUCGCAACCAGUCGGAGAAGAUGAUGAAUAUUCCUCGUAGAGAUUGGUAUUUUUGUCGCCGUCUUGUUUUUGCUCUGCUAUGGGAGUAUAAUUGUUCAUGAUAUUGGAUGAAUAAGAUCCUUUCACUCUUGUUAAAGGUCUCGGGUUCGAGCUUUAAAUACGAAAAAGAAUUUUGAAAGAGGCGCUUUUAAUAGGACUUACACAACGCGAAUCCAAAUUAGUCGCGCACAAGAGGAAAGAUUAUAUACUUCUAUGCUUAACCAGAAAUCUUGAGUUUGAGCUUUGAUAGAAAACGCUAUGCAAAUCUGAAUUAGUCGAGCGAAUACCGCCGAGUGAAAUAAAUCAGAAAAAAUAUGUAUAUGUUUGUUGGGGGAGGGUGUGAAGAAGGAGAAUGAAUGGGUGUUUACUUAUAAUGUAUUUGUUAGUGCGUGUGCAAUGUGUGUGUGAAAGGAAAAGGGGAGUGAGAAGAGGGCAAGUGGCUGCAAAAGGAAGAGCAGAGAAAUAAUAAACCUAUAGGAUUACAAGGAAGGUUCUUUGUAUUUAUAUUUAUAAUAAAAGCAAAAUCUAACAGGAAAAGGAUUGUUGUUUCCUUAUCCACAUAAAUAAAGGAAAGGAGUGUAGGGUAAAGAUUAAUAUAAAGGAGUACAAGGAAGGUUCUUUUCAAAAACAUUUAAUGUGGCAUAUAUCUUAGCAAAAUUUAAUAUGCAACGGGGUUGCUAUUUUUCAUAUCCACAUCAAUAAAGGAAAGGAGUGUAGGUUGAAGAUUAAUAUAAACGUUGUCAAAAUACAAUGACCUUUUUUUAAAAAAAAUAAAAAAUAAAAAAUUGGCAUUCAUAAGACAAAACUCACUUAUGCAACUAAUUCAUUUUCGUGCCCAUUUCAAGAGUAACGAUACCAACCAAGAUUUAUUUCAUUUCACGGAAUUCAAAUUUGGGAUUUCUGAUUAAAAAUUAUGGAUAGAUGUUUCAUACGGUGCGUCAUACGGUGCAUUUUUUAUUUCUUUAAAUAGGAAAAUACCAUCUAUUGUUUACUGGUCAAUUCUUAAAAACAACAACAACAACAGCAGCAGCAACAACAACAAUAAUAAUAAUAAUAAUAAUAAUAAUAAUAAUAAUAAUAAUAAUAAUAAUAAUAAUAAUAAUAAUUUUGUUUUUAUGAAUUUCUUUAUCCGAAAACAAAUAUCUUAUCUGUUAGGUAUAGUAAAUCCCACUAGUCUUCAUCAAAGUAAAGACGGAUGGAAAGAGUGUUGUGGCUCUGAAUGUCGCGUCUACAACGUGUGAUGAUAAGUUGAUACAUCACAUGCAUUUAACUUGCGUAUUAAAAGUUUUCUUAAUAUUCUGAGAGUAGUACUAUUUAAGUCUUAGGCACAACGGUAAAGACUAUCCUGAUUUUACGAGGGAUGACGAUAGGGCGGUGCGAGUGCGAGGCGGGGCGGGUUUAGACAUAUGCGGGGCGGGGCGGGACGGAUUUAUAUAUAUGCGGGAGCGGAGCGGGGCGGGUUAAACUAAAAAAAAAUAAUUUUUUGUGGGUGCGGGUGUGAGUUUAAAUACUCAUUUUUCACACAACUGAAAAGGAAUAAAAAAUGUUUAAUUUUAACAAAUCCAAUCUCAUACACUAUAAAUUAAUGUUCUUCUAUUAUGACAAAAACAAUGAGGUCACUUGACGAAUAAGUAUAAUACAAAUCUCUACGGUAACUGUAUGAAAACACAGAGUAAAAACUUGAACAAUAACAGAAAAUGAGAAAAUUACCCGCUACUUCUGAUUGAAAUAAAUUAAGAUGUUAAAAUAUUUAUUCUGACUAUGCGUGUAUACAUGCUGAUCCCGCGUUCAUUGACCGCAAAAAUAAAAUAAGACAAAUUGAAAAGGAAAAAAAAAGUUGCGGGGCGGGGCGGGUGGAUGCGGGUUAAAAGAGCUAUGCGGGGCGGGUUGAAAUUUUGCGAGUUAAGAAAGAACCCGCCCCGCCCGCACCCGCACCGUCCUGCACCGCUUGCCAUCCCUAGACUUUACCUUGAGAUGAAGUGUUAUGGAUCCAAUAUCCAUAACCAAUUAUCCUUAAUUAUUGUUACUUUUCAGUGUAAUUCCUUUGUUAUAGUAUCAAUAUAUCAAUCUCUUAUUUUUGUAUUUGAUCGUGAAUAUUGGAUCCAUAACAUGAAGUCAUGGUAUUCUUGGAUAUUUUGACUAGCAAAUGCUUCUCUUAUUCAUCUUCUUUUUUUCUUUCUCAAUUUCUUCCUUUUUGUAUGUUUGGUUUUUUUUUUGGAGGGGGGGGGGGUGGUUAGGUCUAAAAUCGUGUAACUUGAUGUUUGCUUUGUUAGUGAAGACAUUGAAAUGAUACUAAUCAAGUCAUUCAUUAACCAAAGUAUACUGUGGAUUAUGCCAUGUGCACAUCAUGAUGUGCUGACUAAUGCCCACCUUCAUCCAAAUAUAUGCUAGCUAUUCUUUGUGUGUAAUCUAAUACUGAAUCUUUUAUUUUCUCUUUCUUUUUGUUUUUCCCUUUUUGCCGACAAAAAACAACAUCUUGUGAUCUUACAAAAAGUAUGAGUCAUAUGCAAGUCAUAUUCUUAUGCAAUGACAGAAUAUACUAUGGUAUUAUAUUAAAAAUAUUUUUAAAAGGGAAUUCUCUUUUGACCUCUUUAGUGAAAAUACUGCUACCAUCUUUACCAAAUGAUCUUUGUUUUCAAAGGUGAAACUUCGAGAUAUCUUUUAGCUCCUCAACACAAAAUUGCUAGUAUAUCUUUUAAAGCUAAAUUCUUUUGGUUUUUAGGUCAAAUUGCGUGCAUUUCAAUUAAUUCAUCGGAUAUCCGUAACUCGUAUUAUUACAUGUACGGGAUGAUUUCGCCAAUCAUAACAUAGCCGGAUGGGAAAAAAAUCACUUAAUUCUUCAUGCUAAUACUAUACCAACUUGAACUUCCAAGAUUAGCCCAUAACAAGCUAAAAACUAAUAAGUGCCAGCAUUCUCAACGCAAGCAACUACUUAGUGUUGUUCAAAAAGAAUUACCAUUAACCAAUACUUCCAUUUUGUCUGAAAUCUUGAAAGUUUUACUACAUAUUUACACGAAAGUUUUCCAUUUUAAGAGGUACGGCAGGUCUAAUAAAAUAAUAUUUUAAUAUAAAGUGUCAGAUACGGUAGGCGUAAUAAAAUACUACUAUGUUAAUAAAAAGGUAUCAUUAUCCUUACUUGUAUAGCUAAAGAAACUUUGACAACAAUAACAAUAAAUUCAGUGUAAUUUCACAAGUGAGAUUUGGGGGAAGUGAUGUAUACGAAGACAUUACUCUUAUCUUAUGCAGACAAAAGAACUUGACAAAGAAAAGUUAAAAUAACACGUUGGAGAUGCAAUAUUGUCGAAAUUUGUAGAGCGCAGUGCAUGAUGUGUGUAGUCGAACAUCUCUGAUUCGAACCGUGCUACAAACAAAAGUUUAAUAUUUAAGUAGAAAAAAAUAAAGAAGCAAGAUCCAUUAUUCACUAAAUUUUGAAUUGUGUGCGCUAAAUGAAUUGCUCGGGAUUCCUAGAUUAUAAAAAAACGUUCUCACAAUUGUCUCAUAGUUAAAACUUCACUCAUACCUAAUAUUUUAAAAACUACCAAAACCAAAUUCAACUUCCCCUAUACCAUUGAAUCAAGAGCUCCAUCUAUUGAACAAAUGUUUUCCAAUAAUAAAAGACGACAGUAGGUAUUAUUCCAAAAUAUUAUUUAGCUGAAUCUCUCUGCACCAGUCCAUAAUCUCAAGCAGCAUUAAACCAGUAAAGAAAUAUAUGCCUUUGGACCAAACUAAGAUAAUAGCAGGUAUAUAACUCUACUAUAAAGAUGAAAUACAUGCCAAAUUCAGCAAACACAAAUUCCAAAUCAAAUUUCAGCAUGUGACUGAAUUCUGAGUUCAUACAACCCAAACAAGAAAUAGAGGUAAUAACCUUGUUAAGGAACUGUUUCCCUUUCUGCCUAUGGAUAAAGAGAAAGAACAACCACAAUAAUAAUAGUGAUAACAAUAUCUCCCUAGCAAAUGUGCAUAUGAGAGCUGCGGAAUUUAAGCUGCUAUCUAAUGAUGAACGUAUGCGCAGCGCUAUACUUACCUUUCAGGGAAGAUGGCAGCCACCAUUAGCUGGAUAUUUUAAACUUUAAUGUAGAUGGAUCAGUGAAGGGACAUCUAAACAAAGGAGGCAUUGGCGGAGUAAUCAGGAAUAAAGAGGAGCCCUGGGUGUUAGGCUAUUACAGUAGUACCCGCAUCAAAUCAUACACAAGCUGAACUACUGGCAUUGCACGCCAUGGCGAAGCCAAGCCAGGAAUUUCAAUAACGGGGUUCAAAAUAUAAAAGUAGAUAUAUGAAGAAGUUAAGGGAAUUCAACAUAUACAAUAUAUACAUAAAGAAUAACUUUGACCUUGAAUAUAUAGUAUAACUUUCAGGCGAAUCCCCUGGUCUGCCCAUGCUUGCAUGGGCGAAAGCUAAGCUGUAGAGCACGCCCUAAAACUUCUGGAAAGUUAAACAGAUUCAACAGAGGUUAUGAGCUUGUUAAACUCAAAUAGAAAUGCUUACAUUUCUAAAAUGCAUGACGGCAGGUUGCUGAUGAGCCAGCUGCGGAAGGGGGGAAAUCCAGCAUAGCUUUCGAGAACGAAAGGCAGUAGCAGAUAUACUGGCUAAGGAAGGAAUUAAGCGGGUAAAUCAUUUUGUACUAAAUAGUUUAGAAUCAGAUAGGAAGGAGAGCAACUUCUGUUAGAAAUAUUGAGAAACCACUAUGCUCUAGAAAGCAUAAACUCACCAGUUUGUACUAGAUUUAACUAGUUAUUAGUAAUAUACUUCUCCCUUUUACCCAAGUAUUUCAAAAACUAACAAAACCAAGGCUUCUGUCUAUCCAAUAAUAGGAAUAAUUUCAGAACAUUAUUUAGCUGAAUCUGCUAGCAGAAGUUCAUAAGCUUAAUUAGCACCAACCAGUAAAGAAAAAUAGCAUUUGAACCAAAGUAUUACCUGAUAAUUGAAAAUUAAACAAGGAGCCUUUUGAACCAAGUAAAAUGGCAGGUGGAUGACAGGGCAAUUCUAUGACAAUUUACAGGUGAAAUCAACUUGGAUAUGAAAUUCAGCAAAAAGAGAAAAUUUCAAAAUCAAAAUUCAAUGUCACUGAAUUUUGAGUUUUUUCUCCCCCUAAUUUUCCUACAAGCCAAACAGCAAUAGAGGUAAUAUACAAACAAUCUCGCAUACGCAACAAGGUAUAAAAACAAAGAAGGUAUAAAAAGGGCAAAAAGGCAAGAUUUUUACGAUUAUAAUAUAACGUAUGUACAAAAUCAACCUCAACUGUAAUAAAAAAGAGCAAAAAAGGUAAAAUUACUGCUAAUAAAAAACACUCAAAUAUUACUACACAUAAAUUACUUUAACUAGCAGCAGUAACUUCUCUCACAGACAUGGGUUUCACAGGCGGGGAAGGAGGGAGUCUAGAAGUGAAAUUACCCAAAGGGGGCUCUUCAUCAUCAAACCCAUCUUCAAAAUUCAGCGAAUAACUCAACGGAUCAUAACGGAACUGAUCAGUAGAGGAGGAGUGUUGUCUCUUGUGCCGGUUUGAUCCAAAGUUGAAAACCAUUAAAACCUUGUCUUUAAAAUUCGAUAGGUUAUUGGGUUCCCAAAUCAGCGCCGGGUUCUCAUCGGAGGAUGACGGCGGAGGCGGAGGAGAACGGUGGCGGUGAGGGAAACAACAGGAGAAGCAAAGGGAGUUCUUCAACUUCUGCUUCAGAGAUGGAGCUGAAUUGGGUACAGAAAAAGGAUGAUUUUCGUCCAUUGGAGUUUGAGAUUUGAGAGUGCAAAUGGAGGAGAAAUUGAGGGGUUUUACACAGUUUUUGUAGAGAAAUGGAAAAUGACGAAUUUGUUUUAACUAUACCUCGUAUAAUAAUAGCCAAAGGUCCAAAUAUUGGGUUGUAAUUUCUAGAAUGGUUUAAAAAUAUCCCUCGUUAUAUUAUUAUUUUCGAAAAUAAUUUAAAAAUAUCUUUUAUUAUACUAUUAGAUUAUCUAUACCCCUGCAGUCAUACUUUAUGUUCAAAUAUGCCCCUCAUUUAAACGGAGGGACACGUGUCAUCGUCUUGUUGGCCAAUUCUAAAUAUCUCUUAAUUAAUUNNNNNNNNNNNNNNNNNNNNNNNNNNNNNNNNNNNNNUAUAAAUAACCCAAUAGUAUAAUGAGGGGUAUUCGUAGACCAUUUUCGAAAAUACAAGGGUAUAUUUGAACAUUUGCCGUAUAAAAAUAUACGCGGUACUUUUACUUUUCCUUUUUUUUUAAUUGCACAAUCUUAUUUAAUUCAGGUGACAUGAAUUGCCCUUGUAGAAGUAAACAAUCCAUUUUAACUUCUACUAUUAAUAAUUGGAGUAAAAUCACAUUUUCUGUUAAUCAAAGGUUAAAUAUAAUUAGCCAAAUAUCAUCAGGAGUUAAAUUGGAAUAAACUAAUAACUCAAUAUCAAGAAAUUUAUUUUUUUCUAUAAAAUAUAUAUGAGUUUUACUCAUUUACUACUAGUCAGUAUAUGAUUUUAGUAGGUUAAUUUGUCUCUCUUUUUUUCAAAAAACAAAAAGAACAUUUUAUGUGCACUCAUUUUUUAAGUCUAUUUUAGAAAAAGGAUAAUGAUUUUCUUUAUUUGAAAGUAAUUUAAUUUGAAUUUUUUUUUAUUGUACUGUUAAUGACGUUGUAUAGUUAUAGAUAUAUUAUAAUGUGUUUAAAUUAUAAAUUUGUAAAAAAGAAAAAAAUUCUUAUUAACUUUCUGUUUAGUCAAGUACGGUCACAUAAAAUAAAAUAUGUAAUAAAUUAGGUUGAUCAAUCUUUGUUCAGGCAAUCUCAACUUGAUGUAGAUUUGACGAAAUGGAUAAGGCAAUUUUUCUCGAAAAAACAUUGCCUAAAUUACCUAAUUUCAGCCUUUUAUUUGUUCAUUUCCUUUUCCACUUUUUGCCAAACUUUUUUCGAAUUUCUCCACUGUCUUUUUUUAAUGUUCUUGAAUAGCUACACUUUCAAUUAAAUAUGAUAAAUUUGAUAAUGCAACUCAGCCUUGACUAUGGUGUAAUAUAUCAAUAAAUUCAGCCUAGAGGAAGUCGCACAUACCAAUUUGUUUUUGUUUUUAAUACUAACUUGCUUACACAAAUUAACAAAAUAAGAACAAUUGUUUCUCCAUCGCAGUUUAUUUAACAAGAUUUCUUUUAUUUUCUCUUCCCAAAAGGAUUUAAACAUUUUUAUAUGUAUAAGUUCUUAAUAUUUGAUUUCAAUUUUGCCUUAACCUUUAAUAAAUUUUGUGUCCAUCUCACUUUACACAUGUUAAAAUCGUGAAUAAUAAAUCAUAUUCUGUAACUCCGUAUCCAGUCAAAUGAACAGGGAUAAAGUAAUAAUAACAUAUUAUAAUUUAUUUUAUUACUCAAUUCAUCUUAUUUUAUGUUAUCCUAAUUGACUGGAUACAAAAUAAAAAAUAAAAAACUUUUAUAAUUUAUAGUAUCAAAUACGCCUUACCUUUUGUACGGUUAUAAAAUUUUAUUAUCACAAAUACAAUAAAAAUUAUAAAUUACAUUAAUUUAAAAUUUAACAAAUUGAUAAAAGAAAUGAUCACAUAAACAGAAACAAAUGGAGUACAAAAAUGCGUCUUGUCACACUGCUUAUCUGCUAAGGCUUGUAGAGCUACAUCUCACAUUUUUCCUAUAUCAGUUUGUUUUUUUUUUCCCUACAAUCUUGAUGUUCGGGUCAAUCACGCACCUCCACUAAUUAUACAAGGUAUAUACUAUCUCAAGAAGUAUAGAGACAAAUUGAAAAAAAUUGUACUAAUAUAUUUUUGCCUCAGCUGUGAACUUAAAUCUCAUGAUCUUAAUCAUUUUAUGAACUACCAGGUCACACCAUUGAGUACUGUAUAUUCAUUUUUCUAUAUUAAAUAAGUGAAAUGAUGGUAGCUUAUAUAUACUAUAAGAUGAGUAACAUGGGUGGGGAAUGCUUUUUGUAUGCCAAAAACUUUAGGGCCUAAAAUCUGCCAAGAUUCAGAGCAAAGAUAAACUCACUUGCAAAAAGACUUCUGCUUUUCAGGUGAGGGUACUAUAUUCUUUCUUUUUAAUAGGGAAAAUGACAAUGAUCUUGACGUGUAUCUUUAUUGAUUGUUCUUUCACUUUUCUCAUGACUAUCAUGUUCUGUAGCAAGAAACUGAUCAGUAUAAGCCAAGAACUUUCUUCUGCUUUAUAACAGUAGCUACAAAUUAAAGACUGUUUCUGAUUUCCUUUGUGGUGUUGUUUUGUCUGAUUUUUUUUUCUGUUCUUGAGUUUGUGUAAAAAUGGCUGGUAUGCUUCCUGGUAUUGAGCAUGCUAGAAGGAGGAGAUUUCAUCAAAGGGGAAGUUGGUUGGAUUCAUCAAAUACAAGGAAGUCCUCUUUUUGCAUCUACACAAGCAACCAUGAUCAAUACCAUCUUAGUUCAAGCUGUUCCAAGGUACUAGUAAAUUCCUUUGACUACUACUCCUCCUCCUUGUUAGAUAGAAAAUUUUGUUUCUGUGUAACGUAUAGGUCACAGGUUUGAUCCGUGAAAAUAGCCAUUAAUAUUUGCAUUAGGAUAGACUGUCUACGUCACACACACGGGGUUCAGCCCUUAUCUGAACACUACAUAAAACGAGAAAUGUUUUGUGCACCGUACUAUUCAUUUAGUAUUAGGAAUAAUUUAAUGGUUAGAUUAAUCUGGAUUUGUGUGCGCAGAGUCUACCAAAAAGGAAGAAUAGUUCUUCCUUUUCGGACUCGAAACCUCUAAUUAGCGGAGGAGGAAUCUAAUCCGUCUCACUAGUACUCUUGCCGGUGGUUGAUAGAAAAUUUUUUGCAGCUGCAUAUUCAAUAUUUUAUGUGGACAGAAUGAGUUGAUACUAAUUCUUAUGUCCUUAUUCUUAAAACUGAAUUAACAGCAAAGAAGUGCAGCAAGCCAUGUAUACCAAGAUGAGAAACUAGUUGAAAUUGCCAGAGAAGCCAAGCAAAGGGUGGAUGAAAGGCUAAGUGCACAAUGGAAAUCAGAAAACAAGAGGUAAAAGUCUAAAUUUCCCCAACCCCCUUAUUUUAUUGUCUUUCUUUUGACCCUUUAUCUACCUAAGCGGAUCAAUAGUUUAAACUUGAUAUGUUCAACAUGUAACGAUCUUAUCACUGAAUAUAUUGCACUAUUGAAAUAUAUGUUCAAAAUUUUAAUUUUUGUUGUAAAUUUAAUAAGUUUUUCACAUAUAUAUCUAUGUUCUGUGUCAAAAAUAUUGGAUUCAGUUGAACCGAUUCGCCCAUGUUUAUUCCACUUGGGAUUGAUUGUUUAUUUCAUUUGUUGUAAUGAAAUCCAGGAGUACUAUAAAUAAUAGACAAAAAAAGCAAGGGGUGGUGGAGAUUAAGCCAAUAUUGGGGAUGAAAGAUUUGCAGAAAGAAGUGUUUAGAUUAAAGAAAAGUAUGACAAAGAGGUUCAUCAAUUGGACAAAGCUGAGGUGGAAGUCUUCAGAACAAGAUGAAUGUGCCAUUUGCUUGGACAAAUUCAGGAUGAGGGACAACCUAAUGCAAUUGCCUUGUGCCCAUAAGUUCCAUUCCAAGUGUCUAGUGCCAUGGCUCGAGUCUAAUUCGCAUUGUCCUUGUUGCAGAAUGGAAAUCUUGACUAUUCUGUAAUCUUUUCUAUAUCGCACCAAUUUUAUCGGAUGAAAAAAAGAAGAAUAAGCUGCAUCUUUCUGUUUCAUGCCCGAAACUUGUAAAAUAGUAAUAUAAAAGCUUUCUUGUUGCCAAGUUUAGUGAUGUUGAGUAAUUGGGAUACUUUGUUUGCAUUAGUUGUGGACUUAGUUAAGAUAUACAAAUUGAUCAUUUGUACGAGCUAUAGGUUAAUUAAGAGAGCUUGUUCAACUGCGCUGUAAAUGGUAGUAAUAUUUAACACUUGAUGUUUAUCAAAUACUCUCAAUCACUAAAAUCAAUAGAGCUCUAUUUUGGCACAAAAUUGAUUUCUUUCCGCUAUGAUGAAAUAAACUCUAUUUAUUUCUAUUAUCAAGAACUAGAUAACUUUUCCUAUCUCAAACUAUUUAAAUUCAAAAACUUAAGAGAGCAAUAUCAAAAUAACGUCAUAAUUCGGUGAAGAAAUGCUAUUUUCAUCACACAUGACAGAAACAACACAUUAAUCUGACCGUAUUUAAACUUUUACCUCUAAGUUUUAAACUUAUUUAUUAAAUGAACCGAGCUCAAAAAAUACAAACUAGACUAUUUUAUGCUGACUUAAUAGAGCAAUUCCAACAUAUCUUAAAGAGCUACUUAUAUUCUACCUGAGAAAUAUUAUUUUAAUUUCCUGAUUUUUAAGACUGAUAUGGUUUGGCUUAAAAAAAAUACGAAUUCAUAUAUAAAAAUCAUACCGGACAAUAGAUUAAUUUAUACUUUAAACCAAAUAUUCAAACUUCAAAAAUAAUUAAAAAAUUAGAAAAUAAAAUUUGGCAUCGAUAAAAGAGACAAAUCACCAAAGAUUGUAAUGAAAAGAAUAUAAUCCUUACAUUUUUAAUUACAAGUCUAAGAUUUGAUAGUGUAUACGGUCAAAACCGAUCUUGCCCUUCGGUAUGACUGAUCGAGACUGGAAGAUGAUAGAUCAAGGUUCAACCUCGUAUAACAUCAAGCUAUGAUGCGAAGUUAGGUUGCUGAACUCAUGACCCAGAGACCGACCAAGAUCGAGAUCGAGCAAAAUAGAGACUGGUCGAGAUCGGUCAAGAUCGAGACUAAGCAAAACCAAGACCAAUCAAGAUCAUGAUCGGCCAAGAUCGAGAUCGAGCCAAAAAAACAGAAAAGCCAGAAUAUUCGCAAUUAGGGCGAGAAUCUCGACAGAAAUCCCAUGGAAUUCCUUCUGUAUUUUUAAUUAUAUUCAAAAUAUGACUUCCCUACUAUAUAAAGGGUUUUUGAUCAUUUGCAGAGACGGGAUAUUUUUUGGAAGGAAAAGCAAUACAUUGCCUUAUUUCAGCUUUCAAUACCUUGUUACUCUAUUCAUACAUUAGCAGAAUUUUCACUUGGUUAGAGAGUAAUCUAACUCGAAAGCCAAAGUUAAUUGAUCUGUUUGGCUUGUAUUUAUUUCUUUUACAGUUAAUUUCGAUAUUCAUUUAUAUAUUUUCUCACUUUGUACCAAGUUAUACUACGUAUCUUUAAAAUCGCGUAUCAAUUCAAUUGUUAUCCGUUUUUCGGGUAAACAGACAUAAUAAAUAUUUCCUCAUUUAACGAGGUUAGGCAUUUUGAACUAAAUUAAUCGAGUCUCAAAGUUGAGAUAAUAUACUUCAAAAAUUAGAGGUCUAAGAUUAGACAUGACGACCGUUUUCUCCUUUAAUGACGUUAGAAAUUUCGAAUCUGAUUUAUAGCCAGUUUGGCCAAGCUCGAGAAAUCUGCUUAUUUUGAUAAGUAUUUUUUUUUAAAAAUGCUUUUGGAGAGAAGCAGAUUGUGUUUGGCUAAUCACGCUGAAAAACACUUUUGAGCAAUAAUUUAUAUUUGACCAAUCUUUUCAGAAAGUGCCUUUAAGUAUCAAAUUACGAAUAAGUACAUUGAAUAUAUUUACUUAAUAGUUAAUAUUAUAAGUAAAUAAAUAAUUUUAAAAAUUUAUUAUUACAUGCAAUAAUUAAAUAUUUUUAUUUUAUUUAAGUAAAAUAUAAAAAUAAAAUUUAAAAGUACUUAAUUCUUUUAAUAUAAGUUAAAUAUAUUAAAAAGCAUCCAACAAAUAUAAAAGCAUUCACCCAUAAAAUCACUAUAUAUUAUAAAGUUAUCCUAAAAAUAAUAAGAAAUAUUUAUACAUUAAUAUCCUAAGUAUUAGGUUUAUCGGUUAUUUUGAUAUAUACUAUAUUUUAUUAAGGGUAUUUUUGGUAUGAAGAAAAGUCAAACUGCUUAUCCUUUUGAAGAGAAACUAUUUUUUUCUGCUUCUCAAAAAUUACUUCUGCUUCUUCCCAAAAGCAUUUUUUUUCCUCAAAAAAAGCUUGCCCAAAUAACUCAAGUUAGGAAAAAAAAAGUAUUUUUAAAAAAUAAUAAUUUUGGUCUCUUGAGAAGCUUGGCCAAACAGGCUAUUAAUCGGGUCCCAAAUUGAUACUAUAUCAUACCUCAAAAUCCAAUUUAAAAAAAAAAAAAAAGGGUGAAAUAUUGUUGUCGUAGGGCGUGGGUGGGUGUUGGGGAGGGAGAGGGCAAAGGUUUGCAUUUCCUGGGAGGUUCCCGGGAGGGAAGACAGUCAAAACUCCCAAAUUCCCCUUCCUUAACUUCUACGACAUAGAAUCAUUCAAACUUUUAGAUCUGAACAAACAUUGUCCGAUUCAAAAAGAAGAAGACUUCUUCUUCUUAUUCAAAAACCCUUUGCACAAUUUCUCAGUAAUAUCAUAAACCCAUAUACAAACAAGACCCAAAUCACACCAAAAAACACGAAAGAUUGGAUUUUUAAAUCAAUGAAAUUAGAAAAAACAUGAUGGAACUCAAACCCCUUAAUUUGGUUCCACCUAAUAGACCCCCACCAGGUCUCAAUCUCUUUCCAAACCUCAAUCCAUCACAAAAGACUUUAACUUUCCACAAAUUUUUAGUCCUUUUCCUAACUUUUAUAGCCUAUGCAGCUUUUCAUGCCUCAAGAAAACCUCCAAGUAUAGUAAAAUCAGUUCUUGGCCCUGAGAUCAAAGCCCAAAAUGGCACUAAUGGGUGGGCCCCAUUUGAGGGUCCAAGUGGGCCUCACCGUUUAGGGGAGCUUGAUCUUGCAUUCUUGUUAGCAUACUCAAUUGGGAUGUAUUUUGCUGGACAUAUUGGUGAUAAUAUUGACUUAAGGCUUUUCUUGACUGUUGGAAUGCUUGGUAGUGGCAUUUUGGUUAUUGCUUUUGGUUUAGGUUAUUUUCUUGAUAUACACUGGCUGUUAUUUUUUGUAAUUGUUCAGAUUUUAUGUGGGUUGUUUCAGUCUAUUGGUUGGCCUUGUGUUGUGGCAGUAAUGGGAAAUUGGUUUGGCAAAGCUAAAAGGGGUUUGAUAAUGGGAGUUUGGAAUUCAAAUACCUCAGUUGGUAAUAUUAUUGGUUCUUUAGUUGCUUCCUCUGUAUUGAGUUUUGGUUGGGGUUGGUCUUUUUUAUUGCCCGGGAUAUUCAUUUUGGUCGUGGCAGCGUUUGUGUAUAUGUUUCUUGUAGUGAGCCCUGAUCAUAUUGGUUUAGAAUUGCCUUCAAAGGAGAUUGAGAUGAAUGUAGAGGGAGUUGCAUUGGUUGGUUCAGAGACAGGUGAAACUGAAGAGGAGGGAGUCGUCGUGGAACCCGAAACUGAGGGUGCAAUUGGGUUCUUGCAAGCCUGGAGGUUACCAGGAGUUGCACCCUAUGCAUUCUGCUUAUUUUUCUCUAAGCUAGUGGCCUACACUUUUUUGUAUUGGCUGCCCUUCUACUUAAGGCACACAGGUACUCAUUUCGCCGAGCUUUUACUAGGAAAAACUACUUUUUGAUGCUACUUGAUUAAGUUGAGUAUUGUUUCCAUUUUGGUCGUUGACAACGCUAGCAUCCUAUUUUCUAUAUGUAUAACUCGACUUGAAUGAUAAGAACUUGUUGUUGCUUUCCUCUUACACUGGAGUAUUUGAGAUUGGAGAUGCGUUUGGUUGUUUCAUUGCAUAUUAUAUUUAUUUGCUUAUGCUAGACGAGCAUAGGGGUAGCAAAGCCUUCACUUGCUUAGUUUGGGGUUUGAAAUGGUUAUGGUGUUCAAAAUCAGCUCUUAAUCUGCUGAGCUAAUGAUAUUAAUUAACAUACAAUUGCUCUGUUUAUGAGUAAAGUCUUC